RNAcentral lists this ribosomal RNA (266 nucleotides) under Staphylococcus aureus. Its description in RNAcentral is "partial 23S ribosomal RNA". It matches the Rfam family "Bacterial large subunit ribosomal RNA", at positions 404 to 673 of the family's 2925-position model. The record is from RNAcentral. Lineage: Bacteria; Bacillati; Bacillota; Bacilli; Caryophanales; Staphylococcaceae.
GAUCCUGAGUACGACGGAGCACGUGAAAUUCCGUCGGAAUCUGGGAGGACCAUCUCCUAAGGCUAAAUACUCUCUAGUGACCGAUAGUGAACCAGUACCGUGAGGGAAAGGUGAAAAGCACCCCGGAAGGGGAGUGAAAUAGAACCUGAAACCGUGUGCUUACAAGUAGUCAGAGCCCGUUAAUGGGUGAUGGCGUGCCUUUUGUAGAAUGAACCGGCGAGUUACGAUUUGAUGCAAGGUUAAGCAGUAAAUGUGGAGCCGUAGCG